RNAcentral lists this ribosomal RNA (2837 nucleotides) under Escherichia coli 2-052-05_S1_C3. Its description in RNAcentral is "bacterial LSU rRNA". It matches the Rfam family "Bacterial large subunit ribosomal RNA". The record is from RNAcentral. Lineage: Bacteria; Pseudomonadati; Pseudomonadota; Gammaproteobacteria; Enterobacterales; Enterobacteriaceae.
GCGAUAAGCGUCGGUAAGGUGAUAUGAACCGUUAUAACCGGCGAUUUCCGAAUGGGGAAACCCAGUGUGUUUCGACACACUAUCAUUAACUGAAUCCAUAGGUUAAUGAGGCGAACCGGGGGAACUGAAACAUCUAAGUACCCCGAGGAAAAGAAAUCAACCGAGAUUCCCCCAGUAGCGGCGAGCGAACGGGGAGCAGCCCAGAGCCUGAAUCAGUGUGUGUGUUAGUGGAAGCGUCUGGAAAGGCGCGCGAUACAGGGUGACAGCCCCGUACACAAAAAUGCACAUGCUGUGAGCUCGAUGAGUAGGGCGGGACACGUGGUAUCCUGUCUGAAUAUGGGGGGACCAUCCUCCAAGGCUAAAUACUCCUGACUGACCGAUAGUGAACCAGUACCGUGAGGGAAAGGCGAAAAGAACCCCGGCGAGGGGAGUGAAAAAGAACCUGAAACCGUGUACGUACAAGCAGUGGGAGCACGCUUAGGCGUGUGACUGCGUACCUUUUGUAUAAUGGGUCAGCGACUUAUAUUCUGUAGCAAGGUUAACCGAAUAGGGGAGCCGAAGGGAAACCGAGUCUUAACUGGGCGUUAAGUUGCAGGGUAUAGACCCGAAACCCGGUGAUCUAGCCAUGGGCAGGUUGAAGGUUGGGUAACACUAACUGGAGGACCGAACCGACUAAUGUUGAAAAAUUAGCGGAUGACUUGUGGCUGGGGGUGAAAGGCCAAUCAAACCGGGAGAUAGCUGGUUCUCCCCGAAAGCUAUUUAGGUAGCGCCUCGUGAACUCAUCUCCGGGGGUAGAGCACUGUUUCGGCAAGGGGGUCAUCCCGACUUACCAACCCGAUGCAAACUGCGAAUACCGGAGAAUGUUAUCACGGGAGACACACGGCGGGUGCUAACGUCCGUCGUGAAGAGGGAAACAACCCAGACCGCCAGCUAAGGUCCCAAAGUCAUGGUUAAGUGGGAAACGAUGUGGGAAGGCCCAGACAGCCAGGAUGUUGGCUUAGAAGCAGCCAUCAUUUAAAGAAAGCGUAAUAGCUCACUGGUCGAGUCGGCCUGCGCGGAAGAUGUAACGGGGCUAAACCAUGCACCGAAGCUGCGGCAGCGACGCUGAUGCGUUGUUGGGUAGGGGAGCGUUCUGUAAGCCUGUGAAGGUGUGCUGUGAGGCAUGCUGGAGGUAUCAGAAGUGCGAAUGCUGACAUAAGUAACGAUAAAGCGGGUGAAAAGCCCGCUCGCCGGAAGACCAAGGGUUCCUGUCCAACGUUAAUCGGGGCAGGGUGAGUCGACCCCUAAGGCGAGGCCGAAAGGCGUAGUCGAUGGGAAACAGGUUAAUAUUCCUGUACUUGGUGUUACUGCGAAGGGGGGACGGAGAAGGCUAUGUUGGCCGGGCGACGGUUGUCCCGGUUUAAGCGUGUAGGCUGGUUUUCCAGGCAAAUCCGGAAAAUCAAGGCUGAGGCGUGAUGACGAGGCACUACGGUGCUGAAGCAACAAAUGCCCUGCUUCCAGGAAAAGCCUCUAAGCAUCAGGUAACAUCAAAUCGUACCCCAAACCGACACAGGUGGUCAGGUAGAGAAUACCAAGGCGCUUGAGAGAACUCGGGUGAAGGAACUAGGCAAAAUGGUGCCGUAACUUCGGGAGAAGGCACGCUGAUAUGUAGGUGAAGUCCCUCGCGGAUGGAGCUGAAAUCAGUCGAAGAUACCAGCUGGCUGCAACUGUUUAUUAAAAACACAGCACUGUGCAAACACGAAAGUGGACGUAUACGGUGUGACGCCUGCCCGGUGCCGGAAGGUUAAUUGAUGGGGUCAGCGCAAGCGAAGCUCUUGAUCGAAGCCCCGGUAAACGGCGGCCGUAACUAUAACGGUCCUAAGGUAGCGAAAUUCCUUGUCGGGUAAGUUCCGACCUGCACGAAUGGCGUAAUGAUGGCCAGGCUGUCUCCACCCGAGACUCAGUGAAAUUGAACUCGCUGUGAAGAUGCAGUGUACCCGCGGCAAGACGGAAAGACCCCGUGAACCUUUACUAUAGCUUGACACUGAACAUUGAGCCUUGAUGUGUAGGAUAGGUGGGAGGCUUAGAAGUGUGGACGCCAGUCUGCAUGGAGCCGACCUUGAAAUACCACCCUUUAAUGUUUGAUGUUCUAACGUUGACCCGUAAUCCGGGUUGCGGACAGUGUCUGGUGGGUAGUUUGACUGGGGCGGUCUCCUCCUAAAGAGUAACGGAGGAGCACGAAGGUUGGCUAAUCCUGGUCGGACAUCAGGAGGUUAGUGCAAUGGCAUAAGCCAGCUUGACUGCGAGCGUGACGGCGCGAGCAGGUGCGAAAGCAGGUCAUAGUGAUCCGGUGGUUCUGAAUGGAAGGGCCAUCGCUCAACGGAUAAAAGGUACUCCGGGGAUAACAGGCUGAUACCGCCCAAGAGUUCAUAUCGACGGCGGUGUUUGGCACCUCGAUGUCGGCUCAUCACAUCCUGGGGCUGAAGUAGGUCCCAAGGGUAUGGCUGUUCGCCAUUUAAAGUGGUACGCGAGCUGGGUUUAGAACGUCGUGAGACAGUUCGGUCCCUAUCUGCCGUGGGCGCUGGAGAACUGAGGGGGGCUGCUCCUAGUACGAGAGGACCGGAGUGGACGCAUCACUGGUGUUCGGGUUGUCACGCCAAUGGCACUGCCCGGUAGCUAAAUGCGGAAGAGAUAAGUGCUGAAAGCAUCUAAGCACGAAACUUGCCCCGAGAUGAGUUCUCCCUGACCCUUUAAGGGUCCUGAAGGAACGUUGAAGACGACGACGUUGAUAGGCCGGGUGUGUAAGCGCAGCGAUGCGUUGAGCUAACCGGUACUAAUGAACCGUGAGGCUUAACCUU